RNAcentral lists this ribosomal RNA (506 nucleotides) under uncultured bacterium. RNAcentral describes it as "partial 16S ribosomal RNA". It matches the Rfam family "Bacterial small subunit ribosomal RNA", at positions 28 to 523 of the family's 1533-position model. The record is from RNAcentral.
GAUGAACGCUAGCUACAGGCUUAACACAUGCAAGUCGAGGGGUAACGAGAGGAAAGCUUGCUUUCCUUGUCGACGACCGGCGCACGGGUGAGUAACGCGUAUCCAACCUGCCCCCAACUAAGGAAUAACCUUGCGAAAGUAAGACUAAUACCUUAUAAUUACCUCAGAUGUCAUCUGACGAGGAAUAAAGAUUUAUCGGUUGUGGAUGGGGAUGCGUCUGGUUAGCUUGUUGGCGGGGUAACGGCCCACAAAGGCAACGAUCAGUAGGGGUUCUGAGAGGAAGGUCCCCCACAUUGGAACUGAGACACGGUCCAAACUCCUACGGGAGGCAGCAGUGAGGAAUAUUGGUCAAUGGGCGGAAGCCUGAACCAGCCAAGUAGCGUGCAGGAUGACGGCCCUAUGGGUUGUAAACUGCUUUUAUACAGGAAUAAAGUUAGCCACGUGUGGUUAUUUGUAGGUACUGUAUGAAUAAGGACCGGCUAAUUCCGUGCCAGCAGCCGCCGUAA